AAAUUGAAGAGUUUGAUCAUGGCUCAGAUUGAACGCUGGCGGCAGGCCUAACACAUGCAAGUCGAGCGGCAGCGGGG
RNAcentral lists this ribosomal RNA (77 nucleotides) under Aeromonas caviae. RNAcentral's name for it is "partial 16S ribosomal RNA". It matches the Rfam family "Bacterial small subunit ribosomal RNA", at positions 1 to 77 of the family's 1533-position model. The record is from RNAcentral. Lineage: Bacteria; Pseudomonadati; Pseudomonadota; Gammaproteobacteria; Aeromonadales; Aeromonadaceae.